GCCACGUGUCUUUUGUGGCUUUGACUUUGUGAGUCAGACACCAACGCUCUCACAAUAUCCCAGUGGUCAAUCAGCCAUGCCCCAGGCAGCAGGGCAGGAGACAUGAGGAUGCAUAUACCUGAGACAAAUGAAUCACACUCUGAAGGCUGGAUCUGAAGGCUAUGUGACAGGUGGUUGUACAGAUUUGGAUAUAUAGUAAUGCAAUUUCUGAUUCUGUGGCUGACAUGAUAUAGCAAGACUGAAUUAUUUUGUCUUGUUUCCAGUUUCUGACUACGGUGAAUAAUGUUUCUCAGGGACAUCCUUGUGUGGGCAUAUGGUGCUAUUUCUCUCCAGUAUCUUCUCCAGAGUAGGAUUGCUGUGUCACAUGUCAAAUUUGGAUUUCUAUAACCUUUUAAAGGCUUGACUCAACCUUUCUUGUCAAUUGGUGGGGCCAAUGCAUGGGAAGAAAGAAAAAAGAAAAAAGUCCUUGUUUCCUUGUAGAGCACCAUGGCACAGUCUCUGACCUGGAUUUGGACAAAGCAAAUGAAAGGGGAAAGGAUCUCUUAUUAAUCAGAAGAAAACAGAGACAACAAAGCACAGAAGUUUCUCUUAGGCCAGACUUCGAAUUGUGUUUCCCUCCUUUGCUGUCCUCCCAAGGGCUAGACACAUGACACCGAGGUUCUCACGACCUUGACAGUUUAGCUGGAAACCCAAGUCUCACUCCUCGGGGGAUAUUUCUCACUGUCUUCCCACAGACCAUCCAUACUGCAACCCAGGAGGACAUGUUCACUCGCAGAGAGAGCAGACCAGGCCUGCAGG
Long non-coding RNA from Talpa occidentalis (Iberian mole), 798 nucleotides. RefSeq lists it as uncharacterized. The record is from RefSeq and is a predicted model, not a curated record. The transcript has 4 exons. Lineage: Eukaryota; Metazoa; Chordata; Mammalia; Eulipotyphla; Talpidae.